GAUGAACGCUGGCGGCGUGCCUAAUACAUGCAAGUCGAGCGAACAGAUGAGGAGCUUGCUCCUCUGACGUUAGCGGCGGACGGGUGAGUAACACGUGGAUAACCUACCUAUAAGACUGGGAUAACUUCGGGAAACCGGAGCUAAUACCGGAUAAUAUAUUGAACCGCAUGGUUCAAUAGUGAAAGACGGUUUUACUGUCACUUAUAGAUGGAUCCGCGCCGCAUUAGCUAGUUGGUAAGGUAACGGCUUACCAAGGCAACGAUGCGUAGCCGACCUGAGAGGGUGAUCGGCCACACUGGAACUGAGACACGGUCCAGACUCCUACGGGAGGCAGCAGUAGGGAAUCUUCCGCAAAGGGCGAAAGCCUGACGGAGCAACGCCGCGUGAGUGAUGAAGGUCUUCGGAUCGUAAAACUCUGUUAUUAGGGAAGAACAAAUGUGUAAGUAACUAUGCACGUCUUGACGGUACCUAAUCAGAAAGCCACGGCUAACUACGUG
This 497-nucleotide ribosomal RNA is filed under the name uncultured bacterium. RNAcentral describes it as "partial 16S ribosomal RNA". It matches the Rfam family "Bacterial small subunit ribosomal RNA", at positions 28 to 507 of the family's 1533-position model. The record is from RNAcentral.